Molecule: transfer RNA, 72 nt
Organism: Strongyloides ratti
Lineage: Eukaryota; Metazoa; Nematoda; Chromadorea; Rhabditida; Strongyloididae
Rfam family: tRNA
About the family: Transfer RNA (tRNA) molecules are approximately 80 nucleotides in length. Their secondary structure includes four short double-helical elements and three loops (D, anti-codon, and T loops). Further hydrogen bonds mediate the characteristic L-shaped molecular structure. tRNAs have two regions of fundamental functional importance: the anti-codon, which is responsible for specific mRNA codon recognition, and the 3' end, to which the tRNAs corresponding amino acid is attached (by aminoacyl-tRNA synthetases). tRNAs cope with the degeneracy of the genetic code in two manners: having more than one tRNA (with a specific anti-codon) for a particular amino acid; and 'wobble' base-pairing, i.e. permitting non-standard base-pairing at the 3rd anti-codon position.
Source: Rfam
UCUCUGGUAGUAUAGUGGUGAGUAUCCGCGCCUGUCACGUGCGAGACCGGGGUUCGAUUCCCCGCCAGAGAG